GACACACAACCAGAAGCAAAGAGAGCAGCUGACCUGUAGCUGAUGACAGAGUUUCACUCUUGUUGCCCAAGCUGGACAGCAGUGGCGCAAGCUUGGCUCACUGCAAACUCUGCCUUCCGGUUUCAAGCGAUUCUCCUGCCUCAGCCUCCGGAGUACCUGGGACUACAGGCACGCAUUGCGCCCAGAGAAAAACAGAUCUUCAACAGUUUUUUGAUGGAAAUAAACAAUUUCAGGUUGAGACAACACAUCAACUUCAUGCAUUCCUUCAGCUUGAAGUCAACUGGGCCUGGGUUGAAUCUGGUUCUGUUUUGUUGUUGUUUCAUUUUGUUUUUUAGCAUUUGACUAUGUACAGUCUCCAUUUCUAAGUCUUGAUUUCCUCAUUUAUAAAACGAAGCAACUAAAUGAUAUCCAAUACACUUGUUUUGAAAAUCAAAGAAUAAGCACGGCACCCAAGACAAUUUUUUGUAUCACAGGCACACAUGAAUGUUUUUUUCCUUUUCCUUUUCUUAUAAAAACCUAUAUUUUGUGACUUUUAUAUUUAUUCCUAGAUGCUCUCAUAUGUAUUAUCUCAUUUUUACAAUAACAUUAUAAAUAUAAACACUGUUAUGCUAUUUUACAGAUGAGAGACUUGAAGCACAGAAGGCUAAAACUACCUUUAACUUCUAAAGAAACUUUGUGAGAAGCAUCUGAGACUAUUGACAGUUAAAAUCCCUAUCAUUUCAGAAAAUGCAACUGGGGAUCACAUGUAUUUUAAAUAAUUCUAGUUGAGAAUAGUAAAAAGUCGCAUUUAUGAAGGAAGAUUGACAUUUUUAACCUUCCCAAUGAUUUCAUCAAGCUCUUUUAGUACUCCUAGCCUCAGUUUCUUCACUUGCAAAAUAAGAAUAACCAAAAACAGGAGCUUCGUGGAUUAAUUUU
RNAcentral lists this long non-coding RNA (915 nucleotides) under Pongo abelii (Sumatran orangutan). RNAcentral describes it as "lincRNA". Lineage: Eukaryota; Metazoa; Chordata; Mammalia; Primates; Hominidae. The record is from RNAcentral.